Molecule: long non-coding RNA, 281 nt
Organism: Bubalus bubalis (water buffalo)
Lineage: Eukaryota; Metazoa; Chordata; Mammalia; Artiodactyla; Bovidae
Exons: 2
Source: RefSeq, a predicted model, not a curated record
GGUGCUUUAGGGCCAUGCUGCACGGAACACAGCUUCUGUAUUUGAGAAGCACUCAGACUUCGCCUUUCUUAGGAGCCAGCCCAAAGCUUGUAUGUUACACCUGUGAUCCUCACACAGCUCUUUGCAGCAGACAGAUGGGAGACAUGACGUACACGGGGAUUUCCACUGGAAGCAGGUCCAAAGGAAGAAAUCCUACAUUCCCAGAAUACAUUCCUCUCUCUUGCCCUGCAGUCAAAGCUUCCCAAACUCGUACAUCUUGUGGCUGAGCCUCAUGAAGAAAA